UACGGAGGAUGCGAGCGUUAUCCGGAUUUAUUGGGUUUAAAGGGUGCGUAGGCGGAUUUUUAAGUCAGCGGUAAAAUGUCCGGGCUCAACCCGGGCCGGCCGUUGAAACUGGGGAUCUUGAGUGGGCGAGAAGUAUGCGGAAUGCGUGGUGUAGCGGUGAAAUGCAUAGAUAUCACGCAGAACUCCGAUUGCGAAGGCAGCAUACCGGCGCCCGACUGACGCUGAGGCACGAGAGCGUGGGGAUCGAACAGG
Molecule: ribosomal RNA, 252 nt
Filed under: uncultured bacterium
Lineage: Bacteria
Description: partial 16S ribosomal RNA
Rfam family: Bacterial small subunit ribosomal RNA
Source: RNAcentral